Molecule: long non-coding RNA, 240 nt
Filed under: Ananas comosus (pineapple)
Lineage: Eukaryota; Viridiplantae; Streptophyta; Magnoliopsida; Poales; Bromeliaceae
Description: long non-coding RNA (ACOM_LNC035043)
Source: RNAcentral
GUUCGGUUCGGAAUUAUUCCGACGGUGCUUCGUGAGCUUUUGCGUAGUCGCUGAGCCUUGUUGGCUGGUCACUUACGUCAUUUCGAGAGUUCGGAAAUGACGGGUGAGCGACGGUGGGUUCCGGUGUCGAAUUAGACACUUCCGGGAACCCGAAUCGAAACGAUUAUCCGACGAUAAUUGUUUCGACACGAGGAGUUGUGUUCGCUGCCAUGAUGCACGAUUAUUUAUGUUUAGUGGCAG